UGUGAGAUGGCUGAGUAAUAAGCAGAAGAUUGUAGCUCUUUUUACGGAGAAUGUUCUCCUCUCAUAA
RNAcentral lists this transfer RNA (67 nucleotides) under Haliotis discus hannai (Japanese disc abalone). RNAcentral's name for it is "tRNA-Tyr". Lineage: Eukaryota; Metazoa; Mollusca; Gastropoda; Lepetellida; Haliotidae. The record is from RNAcentral.